RNAcentral lists this non-coding RNA (111 nucleotides) under Paenibacillus sp. RNAcentral describes it as "Guanine sequence". It matches the Rfam family "Purine riboswitch aptamer". Rfam says of the family: Riboswitches are metabolite binding domains within certain messenger RNAs that serve as precision sensors for their corresponding targets. Allosteric rearrangement of mRNA structure is mediated by ligand binding, and this results in modulation of gene expression. Lineage: Bacteria; Bacillati; Bacillota; Bacilli; Caryophanales; Paenibacillaceae. The record is from RNAcentral.
CAACAAAUGCAUAUUUCAUCUCGUAUAACCUCGCAGGCCGAAAGUGUACACAGGGCGAGGGUCUCUACAGGAAGCCUAUACUUCCUAACUACGAUGCCAGGGAAUCAUUGU